Molecule: ribosomal RNA, 503 nt
Filed under: uncultured bacterium
Lineage: Bacteria
Description: bacterial SSU rRNA
Rfam family: Bacterial small subunit ribosomal RNA
Source: RNAcentral
CUCAGAACGAACGCUGGCGGCGCGUUUAAGCAUGCAAGUCGAGCGGCAAGGGCCUUCGGGCCCUAGAGCGGCGGACGGGUGAGUAACACGUGGACAAUCUGCCCCCCGGCCCGGGAUAGCCCAGGGAAACCUGGAUUAAUACCGGAUGAGACGGGACCCGCGAUGGCGGGAUCCGGGAAAGGCGCUGCGGCGCCGCCGGGGGAUGAGUCUGCGUCCCAUUAGCUAGACGGCGGGGUAACGGCCCACCGUGGCGACGAUGGGUAGCCGGCCUGAGAGGGUGGACGGCCACAUUGGAACUGAGACACGGUCCAGACUCCUACGGGAGGCAGCAGCUAAGAAUCUUCCGCAAUGGGCGAAAGCCUGACGGAGCGACGCCGCGUGAACGAAGAAGGCCGUGAGGUUGUAAAGUUCUUUUCGGGAGGGGGAACAACCGUGGCAGGGAAUGGCCGCGGGAUGACGUGAAUCUCGGAAUAAGCCCCGGCUAACUACGUGCCAGCAGCUGC